GGUUGGUCCAAGUGCAGUGGUGUUUACAACUAAUUGAUCAUAACCAGUUACAGAUACCUUUGUUCCUUCUCCAUUCCCACUGCUCCACUUAACCAGCCUUUA
Molecule: Y RNA, 102 nt
Filed under: Microcebus murinus (gray mouse lemur)
Lineage: Eukaryota; Metazoa; Chordata; Mammalia; Primates; Cheirogaleidae
Description: Y RNA (ENSMICG00000045412.1)
Rfam family: Y RNA
About the family: Y RNAs are components of the Ro ribonucleoprotein particle (Ro RNP), in association with Ro60 and La proteins. The Y RNAs and Ro60 and La proteins are well conserved, but the function of the Ro RNP is not known.
Source: Rfam by way of RNAcentral